Molecule: small RNA, 340 nt
Filed under: Histoplasma ohiense
Lineage: Eukaryota; Fungi; Ascomycota; Eurotiomycetes; Onygenales; Ajellomycetaceae
Description: hypothetical lncRNA
Source: RNAcentral
CUUUGGCAUGAUGGAUUCUACCGUGGUGAAGUCGGCUGGUCGGCAGAAUGGGAUCCAGGUGCAAUAUUCGGAACCCCGAAUUCUACUUCAGAACCAUAUGUCUUUGGCGUUUCCACAUUGUGUGGCGAGAAAGCUGGCCGACCGCUACAUCUUGAACCAAAUGUCGAUAAAAUUUCUGACGUAGCUGUGGAGGGAGCUGCGAAUAUAGGGUUUCCAGAAACACUCUUUGGAGACGCCCAUGCGAAGUACGUUACAACGAUGAUCAGACAACAUAAAAAGUUGCUUCCGGAUGCUCUUCAGGAAAUCGAUCAACGACUGCUGAAGGCGGGGGUAUCGGCGG